Molecule: transfer RNA, 85 nt
Filed under: Oscillibacter valericigenes
Lineage: Bacteria; Bacillati; Bacillota; Clostridia; Eubacteriales; Oscillospiraceae
Also listed under: 2 other names
Description: tRNA-Leu
Rfam family: tRNA
About the family: Transfer RNA (tRNA) molecules are approximately 80 nucleotides in length.
Source: RNAcentral
GCGCCUGUGAUGGAAUUGGUAGACAUGCGAGAUUUAGGUUCUCGUGUCGCAAGACGUGUGGGUUCGAGUCCCUUCAGGCGCACCA